This 467-nucleotide ribosomal RNA is filed under the name uncultured bacterium. RNAcentral's name for it is "partial 16S ribosomal RNA". It matches the Rfam family "Bacterial small subunit ribosomal RNA", at positions 29 to 507 of the family's 1533-position model. The record is from RNAcentral.
ACGAACGCUGGCGGCGUGCUUAACACCUGCAAGUCGAACGGAAAGGCCCUGCUUUUGUGGGGUGCUCGAGUGGCGAACGGGUGAGUAACACGUGAGUAACCUGCCCUUAACUUUGGGAUAACUUCAGGAAACUGGGGCUAAUACCGGAUAGGAGCUCCUGCUGCAUGGUGGGGGUUGGAAAGUUUCGGCGGUUGGGGAUGGACUCGCGGCUUAUCAGCUUGUUGGUGGGGUAGUGGCUUACCAAGGCUUUGACGGGUAGCCGGCCUGAGAGGGUGACCGGCCACAUUGGGACUGAGAUACGGCCCAGACUCCUACGGGAGGCAGCAGUGGGGAAUAUUGCACAAUGGGCGGAAGCCUGAUGCAGCAACGCCGCGUGCGGGAUGACGGCCUUCGGGUUGUAAACCGCUUUCGCCUGUGACGAAGCGUGAGUGACGGUAAUGGGUAAAGAAGCACCGGCUAACUACGUG